AAAGUCGUAACAAGGUUUCCGUAGGUGAACCUGCGGAAGGAUCAUUACAAAUCCACGUCUCUCUUGAGACAAGUUGAAAUGUAGAUUAGAGUGUGAGGAGAUGAUCAAAUGUACCAAGAGAGUUAUCGCUCUCUUGGUAUGCCAUUGCUCUCUUUCUCUCUUUUCUAAACACACCAUUCACAUACGUUGAUCAGUUGUAUUCUACUAGUUAUCCACAACUUAUAACAAUGGAUCUCUAGGCUCUU
This 245-nucleotide unclassified non-coding RNA is filed under the name Basidiomycota sp. Its description in RNAcentral is "partial contains small subunit ribosomal RNA, internal transcribed spacer 1, and 5.8S ribosomal RNA". The stretch from base 1 to 47 matches the Rfam family "Eukaryotic small subunit ribosomal RNA", at positions 1785 to 1831 of the family's 1831-position model. Lineage: Eukaryota; Fungi; Basidiomycota. The record is from RNAcentral.